UACGUAGGGGGCAAGCGUUGUCCGGAUUUAUUGGGCGUAAAGAGCGUGUAGGCGGCUAGGUAGGUCCGUUGUGAAAACUCGAGGCUCAACCUCGAGACGUCGAUAGAAACCAUCUGGCUAGAGUCCGGAAGAGGAGAGUGGAAUUCCCAGUGUAGCGGUGAAAUGCGUAGAUAUUGGGAGGAACACCAGUGGCGAAGGCGGCUCACUGGACCGGUACUGACGCUGAGGCGCGAAAGCAUGGGGAGCGAACAGGAUUAGAUACCCCAGUAGU
This 271-nucleotide ribosomal RNA is filed under the name uncultured bacterium. RNAcentral describes it as "partial 16S ribosomal RNA". It matches the Rfam family "Bacterial small subunit ribosomal RNA", at positions 524 to 794 of the family's 1533-position model. The record is from RNAcentral.